RNAcentral lists this ribosomal RNA (502 nucleotides) under uncultured Glomeromycotina. Its description in RNAcentral is "partial small subunit ribosomal RNA". It matches the Rfam family "Eukaryotic small subunit ribosomal RNA", at positions 591 to 1092 of the family's 1831-position model. Lineage: Eukaryota; Fungi; Glomeromycota. The record is from RNAcentral.
CCAAUAGCGUAUAUUAAAGUUGUUGCAGUUAAAAAGCUCGUAGUUGAACUUCGGGGUUUGCUCAUUGGUCAGGCUUAAUUGUCUGCACUGGUGGGAUAAAUCUCUACCUUCUGAGGAACUUUCAUGCCAUUUAUUUGGUGUGAUGGGAAAUCAGGACUGUUACUUUGAAAAAAUUAGAGUGUAUAAAGCAGACUAACGUCUGAAUACAUUAGCAUGGAAUAAUGAAAUAGGACGGACUGAUUCUAUUUCGUUGGUUUCUAGGAUCACCGUAAUGAUUAAUAGGGAUAGUUGGGGGCAUUAGUAUUCAAUUGUCAGAGGUGAAAUUCUUGGAUUUAUUGAAGACUAACUACUGCGAAAGCAUUUGCCAAGGAUGUUUUCAUUAAUCAAGAACGAAAGUUAGGGGAUCGAAGACGAUCAGAUACCGUCGUAGUCUUAACCAUAAACUAUGCCGACUAGGGAUCGGACGAAGUUAAUUUUAUAAUGACGCGUUCGGCACCUUACG